UGGGGAAUAUUGCACAAUGGGCGCAAGCCUGAUGCAGCCAUGCCGCGUGUGUGAAGAAGGCCUUCGGGUUGUAAAGCACUUUCAGCGGGGAGGAAGGCGAUAAGGUUAAUAACCUUGUCGAUUGACGUUACCCGCAGAAGAAGCACCGGCUAACUCCGUGCCAGCAGCCGCGGUAAUACAGAGGGUGCAAGCGUUAAUCGGAAUUACUGGGCGUAAAGCGCACGCAGGCGGUCUGUCAAGUCGGAUGUGAAAUCCCCGGGCUCAACCUGGGAACUGCAUUCGAAACUGGCAGGCUAGAGUCUUGUAGAGGGGGGUAGAAUUCCAGGUGUAGCGGUGAAAUGCGUAGAGAUCUGGAGGAAUACCGGUGGCGAAGGCGGCCCCCUGGACAAAGACUGACGCUCAGGUGCGAAAGCGUGGGGAGCAAACAGG
Molecule: ribosomal RNA, 429 nt
Filed under: Chloroflexota bacterium
Lineage: Bacteria; Bacillati; Chloroflexota
Description: Chloroflexi bacterium partial 16S ribosomal RNA
Rfam family: Bacterial small subunit ribosomal RNA
Source: RNAcentral